CGAGUCGGGAACCCCCGCACCCUUCGCGCCCGCGCCCCCGCCGGCCCCCGGGAAGAGGACUCACCUCGGGACAAGGUGACCCGCUCCCAGGCGGCCCGGCGUCUCCAGGCAGGCGCGCGUGCGGGGCGGUGCGGGGCGCGGCGCGGCGACCGCCUCCUCUGGCUCUCGAUGCUCGGUCCUGCUCUCGUCCCUCUGCUCACCCCCUCCGCGUCCCUUUCCCGCCCCUCCUUUCCUCCUCCUCCCACUCCCCCGCGCGCCCCGCCCGGCGCCCGGGAGCCUAGGAGCCCAGGAGCCCCGCAGCCCCGCGGGCGGGGUCGCGUGCUCUGCGCCCCAGGAGGGGACCGGGCGGGGGCGACAGGGCGCGGGGGCCGGGGAGCAGCUCCGCGCUGAGGCUGGCACGCGCGCGGGAGGAGAGGAAGGGUUGGGGUGCGGGAGAGAAAGGGAGGGAGGGAAGAGGGGACAGGAGAGGAGGCGGCGGCCAACUUCGCAGGCCACGCGGGGAUCGCGUCUGGAACCAGGCGACUAGACUGAGCAGAGAGGAAUUCUUAGCGACCCGGGAAGCAAGGGUUCCCCUCGGUCCUAAAGGCCUCUCUCCAGGCUCGGUCCGGCUGGGGCGCUGAGGCACCUACCCGUAGGUCUGGCGAAUGUCCACGUUCCUGCCGCCGUGCCCGGAGCCAGGCAACUGCAGGGGCAGACCAGUCUGUGGUGUGAACAGCAGAGAAGCAGACUCUGAAGACACACCCAGGAAGAAGUCAGCAGGAGACUGCAUCCAUGGUGAAAAACCGAGGCUUGAGGAGGCUUCUGGGGGUCCCACUGCAGCCGGUCAGCAGUCGACUUCCCUUCUCUUGUCGGGCCCCCUCUGCUCUCUGUUCCCUCUUGGGGCAGACUGUUUGCUGGCAGUAUCUGGGAUGUUAACACCUUUACCUCUAGGGUGUUUUGUGACUGACUAAAAUUGGGCUUCUCUUGAUCUAGCAGGCAGGCACCUGUGGAGCCCAGCACAGGUCCACAGGGGCCCCUGGAAGCCAGGGUAACAGCUCCAAUGUCAGCUCUUGUGAAUGUUCCCUGUGCCAAGUGCCUGGGAUGUCCUCUGGUGGGGACUUUGAGUCUCUCCCCCAGGGGUUCUGGGACCUGUGUGGAGCUGGGGAGAGAGAGAGAGAGAGAGAGAGAGAGAGAGAGAGAGAGAGAGAGAGACAGAGAGAGAGACAGAGACAGAGACAGAGACAGAGACAGAGACAGAGAGUCAGAGACAGAGAGAUUUAAG
RNAcentral lists this long non-coding RNA (1261 nucleotides) under Cavia porcellus (domestic guinea pig). Its description in RNAcentral is "lncRNA (ENSCPOG00000035415.1)". Lineage: Eukaryota; Metazoa; Chordata; Mammalia; Rodentia; Caviidae. The record is from RNAcentral.